Molecule: long non-coding RNA, 1746 nt
Filed under: Triticum aestivum (bread wheat)
Lineage: Eukaryota; Viridiplantae; Streptophyta; Magnoliopsida; Poales; Poaceae
Description: long non-coding RNA (TAES_LNC005294)
Source: RNAcentral
UCGAAGUUAAUUGAGUAUUGGCAGCAUGGUCUAGCAUCUUUGAGGUUGCUGAGUUUAGCCCUCUGGUACAACAAGGACAAGGAAUUUAUAAAUGUUUAGGUUACAUAUUUUUAAGCAUCCAGCCUUUGUCGGUAGUGAAUUCAGUAUGCUUAAUAAUAAUAACUUGCCAUGUCAAAGACGUAAUAUUUGAUAAGUUUUGGUUUAACCUACAAGUAAUUGCCAACGGAAAUCUGUUGCUUCUUAUGCGCUAAACCUACUGUGACUUUCUACAAUGUAGGUUAACCAAUUAAUUGAACCACAAGGAUAGAGAUCUACACUCUAUUCAACAAUUUUCUCGAGAAGUUUGAUUUGUAUUCGAUAUUUCAUGGACUUAAAUAAUCUCUAUCCGUAAACACAUUGGUUUCUUUCAUCUAGUGAACCCAGGUAAUAAGUGAAGAUGAAUAUUACAUGUGUAUAUUACUUUUUCCUCUGUCGUUAGAUUAUGUUCAGAAUAUUUCUGAUAUUUUUUUGGAAUGCUAGGACUAUCACAUGUAAAAAAGAACUUUAAAUCACAAAAAUGUUGAUUUCUUUUACUAAUGAUCUUAGAGGAUUAGCUUAAGUACCAUACAGAGGAUGACACAAAUGGUAAUGAACACAUCGUGGAUCUUGCAUUAAUUUUCUUAUUCUAGCAGUACAAUUUGUGCAGGGAAGUCAUUCAUUUGUCAUGCCAUGGAAGUAUCGUUUGAAGUUUCCUUGCUGUCAAGACUUUUUUUUCAACAUAUAUGAGGUGGCAAGCAAAGUUAUGGUAACUGCAGUUCAUGUCAGGUAUAAUGUGAAACGUAGGUCCAUCAUCUCAUCAUCCUUUACGCCCUUUCUUUCCCUAAUAUUUUACAGCAAACCAACGGAUCAGCUAACCACAACCUUAGUAUGUGGUAUACUGCGUAAAUAUCUAGCUUGGUAGAAAGCAUGGUCAGUAGAGCGUUUUCUAACCAUGCACUAGUAGUGCCCACUCCAUGCUACUGUUAUGUACACAGACGAGAAGUUUGUUUGAGAAAGAGUAUGCUUGCUGCCUUUCAUCUAAUAUCAUAUGUUUCUGUUUCCUAUGAGAAACUGAUGGUUCACGUCUCUAACUUCUACUGCUUUAUAGUUUUGCACAAAAGCUUUUGUAACCAUGAUGUUGAUAUACCUAUGAUUGUUACUUCAUGUGCUACUACAUUAGUAGGGAGAUUUUUAUAAAGGUACCAGAAUUUAUCUUCUUCCACAUUAAGUCAAUAUUUAGUAACGGAGUUCUAUUUUUGUUUGCAAACUAGUUCAUUUGUCGCAAGGAAUAAAAUCUACUCUGGAUAGUUGAUUUAGUGUUUCUUGAACAUGGCCAGGGCAAUGGAUAAAAUCUACUCUGGAUAGUUGACAGAGGGAGUACAUGCUAAGUUGACUUUUGCCUGUGGAUUUGCUUAUCAUGAAGAUGGUUGCAAGGAUGCAGAGGGAGCAGAUCAUUUGGAGAGAUAGGAUGCCACUGUUUGGUGUUUUUAUGCAUUUUAGUUUGCUUGUAACUGUGUUUGCACUAGCUGGGAGUAAGUGACUUCAAGAAGUGUAGGUGUUUUAAUUGAAGGCAUGAAAAGCCACGACAAUAUGUAUGCUCUUACAGGAUGUGCUCUAAUACCGCCGGUUUAUUAUAAAUCUUGGAUUAGUAAUGAUGUGUAAUGCUGCUGGUUUAUUGCAAAUAUGUGUUUGUUUUAUUUGGAAUUGUAUGCAUAGAAUGGAAUUGGU